ACGGAAGGCAGCAGUGGGGAAUAUUGGGCAAUGGGCGAAAGCCUGACCCAGCAACGCCGCGUGAAGGAAGAAGGCCUUCGGGUUGUAAACUUCUUUUACCAGGGACGAAGGACGUGACGGUACCUGGAGAAAAAGCAACGGCUAAAUACGUGCCAGCAGCCGCGGUAAUACGUAUGGAGCAAGCGUUAUCCGGAUUUACUGGGUGUAAAGGGAGCGUAGACGGCGAAACAAGUCUGAAGUGAAAUCCCGGGGCUCAACCCCGGAACUGCUUUGGAAACUGUUUUGCUAGAGUGCAGGAGAGGUAAGCGGAAUUCCUAGUGUAGCGGUGAAAUGCGUAGAUAUUAGGAGGAACACCAGUGGCGAAGGCGGCUUACUGGACUGUAACUGACGUUGAGGCUCGAAAGCGUGGGGAGCAAACAGGAUUAGAUACCCUGGUA
This 437-nucleotide ribosomal RNA is filed under the name uncultured Lachnospiraceae bacterium. Its description in RNAcentral is "bacterial SSU rRNA". It matches the Rfam family "Bacterial small subunit ribosomal RNA", at positions 341 to 792 of the family's 1533-position model. The record is from RNAcentral. Lineage: Bacteria; Bacillati; Bacillota; Clostridia; Lachnospirales; Lachnospiraceae.